This 345-nucleotide unclassified non-coding RNA is filed under the name soil metagenome. Its description in RNAcentral is "partial contains 5.8S ribosomal RNA, internal transcribed spacer 2, and large subunit ribosomal RNA". The stretch from base 1 to 119 matches the Rfam family "5.8S ribosomal RNA", at positions 35 to 154 of the family's 154-position model. The record is from RNAcentral.
GAUGAAGAACGCAGUGAAAUGCGAUACGUAAUGUGAAUUGCAAAUUCAGUGAAUCAUCGAGUCUUUGAACGCACAUUGCGCCCCCUGGUAUUCCGGGGGGCAUGCCUGUCCGAGCGUCAUUGCUGCCCUCAAGCACGGCUUGUGUGUUGGGCCCCGUCCUCCGAUCCCGGGGGACGGGCCCGAAAGGCAGCGGCGGCACCGCGUCCGGUCCUCGAGCGUAUGGGGCUUUGUCACCCGCUCUGUAGGCCCGGCCGGCGCUUGCCGAUCGACCCAAAUUUUUAUCCAGGUUGACCUCGGAUCAGGUAGGGAUACCCGCUGAACUUAAGCAUAUCAAUAAGCGGAGGA